AAUGAACGCUGGCGGCGUGCUUUACACAUGCAAGUUGAGCGAGGCCACCCGCAAGGGUGAGUCGAGCGGCGAACGGGUGAGUAACGCGUGGAUAACCUGCCCUUGAGUGGGGAAUAACCCGGGGAAACUCGGGCUAAUACCGCAUAAGACCGAGAGGUGAAAGCGGGGUCGCAAGAUCUCGUGCUCAUGGAGGGGUCCGCGUUCGAUUAGCUAGUUGGUAGGGUAAUGGCCUACCAAGGCGACGAUCGAUAGCCGGCCUGAGAGGGUGAUCGGCCACACUGGAACUGAGACACGGUCCAGACUCCUACGGGAGGCAGCAGUGGGGAAUUUUGCGCAAUGGGCUAACGCCUGACGCAGCAACGCCGCGUGGAGGAUGAAGGUCUUUGGAUUGUAAACUCCUGUCAGCAGGGAAAAAGGGAUGAGUGCUAAUACCACUCAGACUUGAUUGUACCUGCAGAGGAAGCCCCGGCUAACUCUGUGC
RNAcentral lists this ribosomal RNA (481 nucleotides) under uncultured bacterium. Its description in RNAcentral is "bacterial SSU rRNA". It matches the Rfam family "Bacterial small subunit ribosomal RNA", at positions 29 to 508 of the family's 1533-position model. The record is from RNAcentral.